AAAAGGUACUACCAAAAAAAAGGUCGAUGCCGCUGAGCGUCACGAACCCCGGAAGCCAAUCCCGAACUCGCCGUCGACACUGAGCUCGGGCGUCCUUCGACCUUCUCUUCCCCAAUCCCCUUGGCCCGCGCCCUGCCCCCCUCCAUUCCCUCUCGCGCCUCCAGCACCGCCCCUCUGGCCCUGGCUCCGUCGCCUCCGCUGGCCUUCGCAUUCCCCUCGCCGACGGCCAUGAUUGACUGCCCGCGGCUGCUUCUUGCUGCCGCGAGCUCCGCCCCCGGCCCCUCGUCCGCCGCUUGCCGGAGGUUCGCCACCGGGUGCCCUCCCUUCUCCCUUUCAUGCCGCGGCCGCCUUUCUUCUUUCCCUGUGCAAUCUGCAUCCUCUGGGGCGGGGAGCCAGUCGAGCGUCGUGGAUGAGCCGGAGGCCGUCGAAUGGGCCAUGCAGGACUUCUACGCUUUGCGCAAGGAUGUUGAGUUGGCCGUAGAGCGUGUCAAUGAAGUCAGGCAGGAUGCUGGACUGGAACAGCUUCUGGAGGAAAUCGCUUCACUGGAGAACAAGUCUGGAGAUAGCACCUUGUGGGAUGAUCCUUCCAAGGCACAGGAGUUGCUUGUUGCUCUCACAGAGCUCAAAGAGAAAGUCAAACUUCUUAACGAUUUCAAGUCGCAGGUUGAAGAAGCGGAUACCAUUGUGCAGCUUACAGAGGAGUUAGACUCCAUAGACACAGGCCUUCUUGAGGAGGCAUCAAAGAUCAUAAAGGCAUUGAAUAAGGCACUAGAUAAUUUUGAAAUGGCACGGCUUCUUUCUGGGCCUUAUGACAAGGAAGGAGCUGUAAUUACUAUCUCUGCAGGCGCUGGUGGCACCGACGCCCAGGAUUGGGCUGACAUGUUGCUCAGGAUGUAUGUGAGGUGGGGAGAGAAGCAGCGCUACAAGUCAAGAGUGGUAGAGAAAUCCCCUGGCGAGGAGGCUGGAAUAAAAUCAGCAACAGUUGAAUUAGAGGGAAGAUAUGCCUAUGGGUAUCUCUCAGGAGAGAAAGGGACACACAGGAUCGUCCGCCAGUCUCCAUUCAACGCUAAAGGCCUUCGACAGACCAGCUUUGCUGGUGUUGAGGUCAUGCCUCUUUUACCAGAGGAAUCCUUGGAUGUAGAAAUUCCUGAAGAGGAUCUGGACAUAAGUUUUACGAGAGCUGGAGGUAAAGGAGGCCAGAAUGUGAACAAAGUGGAGACUGCUGUUCGCAUGGUCCAUAUCCCCACUGGCAUUGCCGUCCGUUGUGCAGAGGAGAGGAGUCAGCUGGCUAACAAGAUAAAGGCCCUAAGACGGCUGAAGGCAAAGCUUCUGGUGAUCGCCGAGGAGCAGCGUGCGUCGGAGAUCAAGCAGAUCCGUGGUGAUGCGGUGAAGGCGGAGUGGGGGCAACAGAUACGCAAUUAUGUCUUCCACCCCUAUAAGCUCGUCAAGGACGUCCGGACGGCAUGCGAGACGUCGGACAUCAGCGGUGUGAUGGAUGGCGAGCUGGAUCCCUUCAUCAAAGCCUACCUUCAGUAUAAGCUCUCUGCUGCUGCCGAGGAGCACAGCGUCAAAUGAUGCUGACAUCGACAAUCCAAGGUAGCAGUAUGGAAUUUUGAUGCGCUCGUCAUCGUUGGCUCUGGCUGAUUGAGCCGCCCUAGUGAAGGUAUGCAGUUUUACAGAGGCUUUUGCAGUUUUUGUAGUCUUUGUGUCCAGUGCCUCUAAAGGUGCUGGAUAUGAAAAACAGCCAAGUGAUGAAUUUAAGUUGAAGGUUGUGACUAGUGAAACAGCUCGACGGGAGUUUUUAACUGUUGGAACCAGAAGCCACAAAGGCAUGAUGGUUGAAGCAUUGGUCUCGUAACACAUGAAGGGUGCCUUGUGUACUGUACUACUGGUGCUUCUUUCACCAUUUGAUUUUUGCCUAUGAUGAAUUCCUGAGUAAGCUGAACCGUAACAAACUGAAGUCGACGGUGGUUUGUCCGUUGAAUUUGUGUCCAUGGGAAUAUUGAGCAUAGAUACCUGGGGAGUAAGUAUGCUGGAGAAAUAUUGUGUGUAGGAUUUUUCUGCUGGAGGUUUUAAAAUUUUGAUGAUCGAUCCCUUCUUAUUUUUCUUUUGAGGCCAAUUAGUUGCCUCUCUUUAGCUAGAUUGGGCUGCAACUCGGUUAGGAAAAGCCGACAAGCUAUUAGGCCCAACUUGCUAUCUCGUAUGUGCGAGUUUGGACUUCUAGGAGCGAAAGGCGGGCCCCAUGGCCAUGGUCAUGUAUGUUUUUUUUUUAAAUGGAGGCGUACC
RNAcentral lists this ribosomal RNA (2286 nucleotides) under Triticum aestivum (bread wheat). Its description in RNAcentral is "partial small subunit ribosomal RNA". Lineage: Eukaryota; Viridiplantae; Streptophyta; Magnoliopsida; Poales; Poaceae. The record is from RNAcentral.